This 63-nucleotide transfer RNA is filed under the name Sirthenea flavipes. RNAcentral describes it as "tRNA-Ala". The record is from RNAcentral. Lineage: Eukaryota; Metazoa; Arthropoda; Insecta; Hemiptera; Reduviidae.
GGGAUUGUAGUUAAAAAUAACGUCUAACCUGCAGUUAGGAGGUACUAUUAUAAGUCUAUCUCA